AUGUACAUUCCUACAACACAAUGUUAAUGCACUGAAUCCCAUUAGAACUUUGCAAUUAAGUGCGCUCAAGCUAGAGUAGUACUUGGAUGAGUGAUUUCUUGGGAAGUCCUAGUAUUUUACAUG
Picea glauca (white spruce) is the source of this 123-nucleotide non-coding RNA. The record is from Rfam. NCBI's taxonomy places the organism in Eukaryota, Viridiplantae, Streptophyta, Pinopsida, Pinales, Pinaceae.